RNAcentral lists this ribosomal RNA (426 nucleotides) under uncultured bacterium. RNAcentral describes it as "partial 16S ribosomal RNA". It matches the Rfam family "Bacterial small subunit ribosomal RNA", at positions 354 to 796 of the family's 1533-position model. The record is from RNAcentral.
GUGAGGAAUUUUCCGCAAUGGGCGAAAGCCUGACGGAGCAAUGCCGCGUGAAGGAUGAAGGCCUAUGGGUUGUAAACUUCUUUUCUCAGAAAAGAAUUAUGACGGUAUCUGAGGAAUAAGCAUCGGCUAACUCUGUGCCAGCAGCCGCGGUAAGACAGAGGAUGCAAGCGUUAUCCGGAAUGAUUGGGCGUAAAGCGUCUGUAGGUUGUUUAAAAAGUAUUCUGUCAAAGAUUAGGGCUUAACCCUAGAUAGGCAGAAUAAACUUUUAAGCUAGAGUUUGGUAGAGGCAGAGGGAAUUCCCGGUGGAGCGAUGAAAUGCGUAGAUAUCGGGAGGAACACCAAAGGCGAAGGCACUCUGCUGGGCCAAUACUAACACUGAGAGACGAAAGCGAGGGGAGCAAAUGGGAUUAGAAACCCCAGUAGUCC